AUACGUAGGGAGCGAGCGUUGUCCGGAAUGAUUGGGCGUAAAGGGCGCGUAGGCGGCCCGGUAAGUCUGGAGUGAAAGUCCUGCUUUUAAGGUGGGAAUUGCUUUGGAUACUGUCGGGCUUGAGUGCAGGAGAGGUAAGUGGAAUUCCCAGUGUAGCGGUGAAAUGCGUAGAGAUUGGGAGGAACACCAGUGGCGAAGGCGACUUACUGGACUGUAACUGACGCUGAGGCGCGAAAGUGUGGGGAGCAAACAGGAUUAGAUACCCUGGUAGUCCACACUGUAAACGAUGAAUGCUAGGUGUAGGGGGUAUCGACCCCUUCUGUGCCGCAGUUAACACAAUAAGCAUUCCGCCUGGGGAGUACGGCCGCAAGGUUGAAACUCAAAGGAAUUGACGGGG
RNAcentral lists this ribosomal RNA (397 nucleotides) under uncultured bacterium. RNAcentral's name for it is "partial 16S ribosomal RNA". It matches the Rfam family "Bacterial small subunit ribosomal RNA", at positions 523 to 918 of the family's 1533-position model. The record is from RNAcentral.